UCUGGCGGUCUUUGGCUGUCCGAGUUGUAAUCUAGAGAAGUGUUAUCCGCGCUGGACCGUGUACAAGUCUCCUGGAAUGGAGCGUCAUAGAGGGUGAGAAUCCCGUCUUUGACACGGACUGCCAGGGCUUUGUGAUGCGCUCUCAAAGAGUCGAGUUGUUUGGGAAUGCAGCUCAAAAUGGGUGGUAAAUUCCAUCUAAAGCUAAAUAUUGGCGAGAGACCGAUAGCGAACAAGUACCGUGAGGGAAAGAUGAAAAGAACUUUGGAAAGAGAGUUAAACAGUACGUGAAAUUGCUGAAAGGGAAACGCUUGAAGUCAGUCGCGUUGGCCGGGGAUCAACCUUGCUUUUGCUGGGCGUACUUCCCGGUUAAUGGGUCAGCAUCAAUUUUGACCGUUGGAUAAAGGUCAGGGGAAUGUGGCAUCUUCGGAUGUGUUAUAGCCCUUGGUCGCAUACAACGGUUGGGAUUGAGGAACUCAGCACGCCGCAAGGCCGGGUAUUUAUACUACGUUCGUGCUUAGGAUGCUGGCAUAAUGGCUUUAAUCGACCCGUCUUGAAACACGGACCAAGGAGUCUAACAUGCCUGCGAGUGUUUGGGUGGAAAACCCGAGCGCGUAAUGAAAGUGAAAGUUGAGAUCCCUGUCGUGGGGAGCAUCGACGCCCGGACCAGACCUUCUGUGACGGAUCCGCGGUAGAGCAUGUAUGUUGGGACCCGAAAGAUGGUGAACUAUGCCUGAAUAGGGUGAAGCCAGAGGAAACUCUGGUGGAGGC
This 768-nucleotide ribosomal RNA is filed under the name Galerina aff. atkinsoniana 1 BRL-2018. RNAcentral's name for it is "partial large subunit ribosomal RNA". It matches the Rfam family "Eukaryotic large subunit ribosomal RNA", at positions 121 to 874 of the family's 3401-position model. Lineage: Eukaryota; Fungi; Basidiomycota; Agaricomycetes; Agaricales; Galerinaceae. The record is from RNAcentral.